CAUGCAAGUCGUACGCACUGGCCCAACUGAUUGAUGGUGCUUGCACCUGAUUGACGAUGGAUCACCAGUGAGUGGCGGACGGGUGAGUAACACGUAGGUAACCUGCCCCGGAGCGGGGGAUAACAUUUGGAAACAGAUGCUAAUACCGCAUAACAACAAAAGCCACAUGGCUUUUGUUUGAAAGAUGGCUUUGGCUAUCACUCCGGGAUGGACCUGCGGUGCAUUAGCUAGUUGGUAAGGUAACGGCUUACCAAGGCGAUGAUGCAUAGCCGAGUUGAGAGACUGAUCGGCCACAAUGGAACUGAGACACGGUCCAUACUCCUACGGGAGGCAGCAGUAGGGAAUCUUCCACAAUGGGCGCAAGCCUGAUGGAGCAACACCGCGUGAGUGAAGAAGGGUUUCGGCUCGUAAAGCUCUGUUGUUGGAGAAGAACGUGCGUGAGAGUAACUGUUCACGCAGUGACGGUAUCCAACCAGAAAGUCACGGCUAACUACGUGCCAGCAGCCGCGGUAAUACGUAGGUGGCAAGCGUUAUCCGGAUUUAUUGGGCGUAAAGCGAGCGCAGGCGGUUGCUUAGGUCUGAUGUGAAAGCCUUCGGCUUAACCGAAGAAGUGCAUCGGAAACCGGGCAACUUGAGUGCAGAAGAGGACAGUGGAACUCCAUGUGUAGCGGUGGAAUGCGUAGAUAUAUGGAAGAACACCAGUGGCGAAGGCGGCUGUCUGGUCUGCAACUGACGCUGAGGCUCGAAAGCAUGGGUAGCGAACAGGAUUAGAUACCCUGGUAGUCCAUGCCGUAAACGAUGAGUGCUAAGUGUUGGAGGGUUUCCGCCCUUCAGUGCCCGGAGCUAACGCAUUAAGCACUCCGCCUGGGGAGUACGACCGCAAGGUUGAAACUCAAAGGAAUUGACGGGGGCCCGCACAAGCGGUGGAGCAUGUGGUUUAAUUCGAAGCUACGCGAAGAACCUUACCAGGUCUUGACAUCUUGCGCUAACCUUAGAGAUAAGGCGUUCCCUUCGGGGACGCAAUGACAGGUGGUGCAUGGUCGUCGUCAGCUCGUGUCGUGAGAUGUUGGGUUAAGUCCCGCAACGAGCGCAACCCUUGUUACUAGUUGCCAGCAUUAAGUUGGGCACUCUAGUGAGACUGCCGGUGACAAACCGGAGGAAGGUGGGGACGACGUCAGAUCAUCAUGCCCCUUAUGACCUGGGCUACACACGUGCUACAAUGGACGGUACAACGAGUCGCAAGCUCGCGAGAGUAAGCUAAUCUCUUAAAGCCGUUCUCAGUUCGGACUGUAGGCUGCAACUCGCCUACACGAAGUCGGAAUCGCUAGUAAUCGCGGAUCAGCAUGCCGCGGUGAAUACGUUCCCGGGCCUUGUACACACCGCCCGUCACACCAUGGGAGUUUGUAACGCCCAAAGUCGGUGGCCUAACCUUUAUGGAGGGAGCCGCCUAAGGCGGGACAGAUGACUGGGGU
This 1472-nucleotide ribosomal RNA is filed under the name Limosilactobacillus reuteri. Its description in RNAcentral is "Lactobacillus reuteri 16S ribosomal RNA". It matches the Rfam family "Bacterial small subunit ribosomal RNA". Lineage: Bacteria; Bacillati; Bacillota; Bacilli; Lactobacillales; Lactobacillaceae. The record is from RNAcentral.